GCCAUGCUAGUUGUACGAGUUCAGACUCGUAGCAGAUAGCUCAGUAACACGUGGCCAAACUACCCUAUGGAUCCGGACAACCUCGGGAAACUGAGGCUAAUCCGGAAUACGACUCUCAGCCUGGAAGUGGCGAGAGUCAGAAACGCCCCGGCGCCAUAGGAUGUGGCUGCGGCCGAUUAGGUAGACGGUGGGGUAACGGCCCACCGUGCCCAUGAUCGGUACGGGUUGUGAGAGCAAGAGCCCGGAGACGGUAUCUGAGACAAGAUACCGGGCCCUACGGGGCGCAGCAGGCGCGAAACCUUUACACUGCACGAAAGUGCGAUAAGGGGACUCCAAGCGCGAGGGCAUAUAGUCCUCGCUUUUCACUACCGUAAGGAGGUAGUAGAAUAAGUGCUGGGCAAGACCGGUGCCAGCCGCCGCGGUAAUACCGGCAGCACGAGUGAUGACCGCUCUUAUUGGGCCUAAAGCGUCCGUAGCUGGCCACGCAAGUCUAUCGGGAAAUCCACGCGCUCAACGCGCGGGCGUCCGGUGGAAACUGUGUGGCUUGGGACCGGAAGAUCCAGAGGGUACGUCUGGGGUAGGAGUGAAAUCCCGUAAUCCUGGACGGACCACCGGUGGCGAAAGCGCUCUGGAAAGACGGAUCCGACGGUGAGGGACGAAAGCUCGGGUCACGAACCGGAUUAGAUACCCGGGUAGUCCGAGCUGUAAACGAUGUCUGCUAGGUGUGCCACAGGCUACGAGCCUGUGGUGUGCCGUAGGGAAGCCGUGAAGCAGACCGCCUGGGAAGUACGUCCGCAAGGAUGAAACUUAA
This 811-nucleotide ribosomal RNA is filed under the name uncultured euryarchaeote. RNAcentral describes it as "bacterial SSU rRNA". It matches the Rfam family "Archaeal small subunit ribosomal RNA", at positions 48 to 859 of the family's 1478-position model. Lineage: Archaea; Methanobacteriati; Methanobacteriota. The record is from RNAcentral.